This 3823-nucleotide long non-coding RNA is filed under the name Homo sapiens (human). RNAcentral's name for it is "HSALNT0382665". The record is from RNAcentral. Lineage: Eukaryota; Metazoa; Chordata; Mammalia; Primates; Hominidae.
CUGGAAGACAUGCGCUCGGGUGGUGAAGAUGGGCUGUUCUCUGCAAUAAGAGAGUGGGCGUAUAAUAGAAUUGCACAUAGAGAACACCCAAGAAAAUCAACUGAAAAAGAUAUCACCAAGGUGGCCUCAAGAAUUGAUAGGAUCCCAGCCACAAGUGAAGGUAUGUUACCAGCUAGAGCAGGCUGAGAGCAGAACAGCUGCCCUUUAUCUUGGGGAAAUAGCACAGGCACCUGUCCCUCCUCUCCCAGGGCCCCAGGGGGAACUGCUGGAACAGCCCUUUCCUUCGCACCCAAGGACAUGGCACAUGAUACCAAAGACACAUGCAGGAAGGUGCAAGCGGGGAAGAUCCGCCCCCGUGGGGACAGCAGCAAACCCCAGUGUAUGUGAGAGGGAGAAGUUACGUGUUUAGAAUAUUAUGAGAUUGAGGCAUUUAAGGGAAGUCUUCAAGGAAGGAAAACUAGUUAAGAAGAAUAAACCCAUUGUUCUACAGCCAUGGUGAGCUUGCUGUAAACACUUGGAAACAGUGUGCCUCCCACCAGCCUUUCAUAUGCUGCAGGCCUAUGCACACAGUAGGCCCAAAAUACUUGCUAAACUAGAUUAUUUGGCUUUAAAAUUAUAUCACAUGUGCCCAGCAAGGCAAAACUCAUCUCUAUUAUUUCCCACAAUGUCAAGGGCAAAAGUGAAAUCAACCUCAUCUGGUCUAAGACAGGUGUGGGGGCCCCAAAUCCUUAUAGUUUAGGGGCGAGACUGCUGCUGAGACUAGAGCCCUGCAGGACUGGGUCAGCCUGCUCCUCAGCUGGACCAUCUACUCCGAGGAGCAGCUCGGAGCAGGAUCAUGGAGAACACCUGGGCAGCAAAUGGCCCAGAGCUAACUAGGGACUAAAAGCAGGCAGCAUUGCCCGAGCCGCAUUACACACUCAUCAAAGUCCCAGUGUCUACUCUCAUAAGAAUCCUUCAAAAAUCUAACGCUUGACCCUAGGGACACAGAGAUAUAUAGACGCCAUCCCUCCCGGACAGCACUCACUGGCAGUGACUCAGGAUGAGUACUGGGUGCAGAAACUCCAGCACCUGAGGGUACAGAUACUCAGGCCACGGUGCUCUGGGGUUCAGGUGUCACAGCCAGAGGUCUUUGCCAGGGAUCCUCUAGAGCAGGCAGAUGCUAUUCUCAGGACAGUGUGAUCAUGUUGGGACAGUGCCCACGGGACAGGAUACCACAGUGCUCAGAUUUCUCUCCUACCAGGGCCUCAUUUCCGUGUCCUACUUGAGUAUCAGGCCCCACCUCAGCAGGUGAGGCUGGGUGGUCUGGUGGGGGCUCAUUCCCUUAGUUCUUCUCCAUGGGGUUUCCCCUCCACACUCACCUCCACAGCUUUGAGGACAUGUCUAUGUGAUGACACCUGAAUGUGUACCUCCAGCCCAGGUGUCUCUCCUGAACCCCAUGCUUGCACCUUACCUCCCUGCUGCUGUUCUCCCUGCACCCCUAUUUCAGUGACUCACACCACUGGAUCUGUCACUAUGGCAGAAACCUGGGAAUCUCACACCCAGCACACAGCAGGAACAUCUCCCUCGCUGUCCUCUCCUCAGCAGCCCAGGCUGUCAGCCUCCUACCUAGUAGUGUCCUCCAAUGGGCCACAGGUGUGUUGAACUCGGCCCCGUAAAUGGCUGUGCAGGGCACAACUCUGAGUGUCAAUCAUGAAAGACACGCAGACUCAUUACAUCAACUGCCUGGCAGAUCACAGAUUUCCAGAAGGUGUCUUAAAGAAGCGUUUUUUUCUAAUUUGUACAAAGAUGUCACUUGUCCUGGGAAGAAGUAGCCUGCUGAGAAGGGGAUCUCAACCCUCAGGGUGCAGAGCAGGGCCUGGGCCACAGGAGUCCCAGGGCUGGGCACUGUUUUGUCCAUUUGCCUAGGUGCUGUAAACAUAUUUUCCAUGUGUCCGUGACACUAAAAAGAUUGGGAAACACUGACCUAGAUUACACCAAUAGCCCCUCUGUGCUUCUGGAUCUCUUCUGUUGGCAAAAACAAGCUCAGGUCUCUCCCAUUUAUACCAGACAUGUAAGUUAACAUGCCUGCUCUACCCAACACCUCUCUCUGCCUUCAGGCCUUACUCAGGGAAGUCACAACGGGUUGCUCGUCCAUACAGGAUCAAGGACAGGUUGGCCUGUUGGCCAGACGCCCAGCACAAACAGCUCAGCCCAGUGAGGGAGAGUCAUUAGGUAAGCCAUCAACCACCUCCCUGCAGAAUUCAGUCAUCAUUGUUGCAUGUGGAGUCCCUUCUCAUACAUAAUCAUACAUUACUAGUAUAAUAAUCCAAUUAUCCAACUCUCCCAACAAAGAGGCUUCACAGAUCAAACUGACCUCAGGUUUGAGCAUUAUUUACAAAAAGGUCAACCAGAAAUUAAUUGGAACGUCCAGUACCAGGAAGAAUCAAGUCAAUAAAUUAACACAAUAGAGUACUAUGUAACCCUUUUAAAAAAGAACAUUCUUAUGACUAUAUAAAUAUUGUUCCCUGCAGAGGCAAAAAAUGUGCCAGGAUUAUAGUUCUUUCUGUACAGUUCCAAUGUCAACAGCAGAGUGCUACUCACAGGAAAACAUUCCUAGUAUCAAGGUCAGAGAGAAGCUUCUCCUUUCUAGCACUCUCCCAGUUGUUCAAAAGCAGGCGGUAUCUUUCGUGCACUUCAUAUUUGAAACAUGACAUGCUUGUGAUAAUUUUUAAUUUUUGUGAUGUUUUCCUAUUGCCUUCUCUAUCGAGGAAAGAAACACAGCCCGUCUUCCCAUAACCCUAGUAUAUUCCAGCUUGUUCACUCUGUCCAUUGUCUGGAAUCUGCUCCAGUCUCUGUCCUCAAGAUAUUAUUCUUGGAGCCAGUAACUUCCACCUGUAAUUUGGAGUGAAUGCUUCUGAGGCCCAUUCAUAGCCAUCUGUCCAGAAGUUCUUUUCACCAGACUCCCAGGAGCCAUCAAUUCUUUUUGCCCACUUCCCCACAUCAUGACCUCCUUCAUAGUCUUCGCCAUUGUUUUGCUGUUGUAGAUCCUCAAGAUGAGCGGGAGGUCAACUUUAAGUCCUUGCACAUCAGGAAUGGCCUUUACUUUCCCCCUUAUACUUGAUUGGUUUUGGCUGGAUGUAUCCUAGGGCUGCUGUACCAAAUUCCCACAAACUUGGGGGCUUACAUGACAGGAAUUUAUUUUCUCACAGCUCUGGAGGGCAGAAAUCCGCAGUCAGUUGACUGGGCUGAAACCAAGGUGUCGCCAGGGCCAUGCUGCCUCCAGAGGCUCUAGGGUUGGAAGCUCUAAGGAAGCAUCCAUUGCCCCACCUUUCCCAGCUUCUAGAGCUGCGUUCCUUGGCUCAUGGCCUCCUCCUCCAUCUUCAAAGCCUGCAGCAAAGCAUCUUCAAAGCUCUCUGCAGAGAUCCUCACAUCCUCUUCUCUAUUCUGUGUGUAGUAAAAUCUCCCUCUGCUACUCUCUUCAGAACACUUGUGAUUACACUGGGCCCUGGAUAAUGCAGGAUAACCUCCCCAUCUCAAAGUCCUUAACUUAUCAUAUCUGCAAAGACCCUUUAACAUAUACGGUAACGUAGGUUCAGAAAUGAGCAUCUGAUAUAUCUAUGGGAGACAUUUUUUAGCCUACCACUCUGGGGGUAAAACAAUCUUUUUUUUUUUUUUUUUUAAGACACAAAGUCUUACUAUGUUGCCCAGGCUAGAUUCAAAUUCUUGGGCUCAAGCAAUCCUCUUACUUCAGCCUCCCUAGGAGCUGCGACUACCACAGCACUCAGCUUAAAACAAUUGUUUUAAAUGGCUUAAAAAAAAUGAUUUUCAGACGGGCAUGGUGGCU